GAUGAAGAACGCAGCGAAAUGCGAUAAGUAAUGUGAAUUGCAGAAUUCAGUGAAUCAUCGAAUCUCUGAACGCACAUUGCGCCCGCCAGUAUUCUGGCGGGCAUGCCUGUUCGAGCGUCAUUACAACCCUCAGGCCCCCGGGCCUGGCGUUGGGGAUCGGCGGAAGCCCCCUGCGGGCACAACGCCGUCCCCCAAAUACAGUGGCGGUCCCGCCGCAGCUUCCAUUGCGUAGUAGCUAACACCUCGCAACUGGAGAGCGGCGCGGCCACGCCGUAAAACACCCAACUUCUGAAUGUUGACCUCGAAUCAGGUAGGAAUACCCGCUGAACUUAAGCAUAUCAAUAAGCGGAGGA
Molecule: unclassified non-coding RNA, 353 nt
Filed under: soil metagenome
Description: partial contains 5.8S ribosomal RNA, internal transcribed spacer 2, and large subunit ribosomal RNA
Rfam family: 5.8S ribosomal RNA (bases 1-120)
Source: RNAcentral